UACGGGGGGGGCAAGCGUUGUUCGGAAUUACUGGGCGUAAAGGGCUCGUAGGCGGCCAACUAAGUCAGACGUGAAAUCCCCAGGCUCAACCUGGGAACUGCGUCUGAUACUGGAUGGCUUGAAUCCGGGAGAGGGAUGCAGAAUUCCAGGUGUAGCGGUGAAAUGCGUAGAUAUCUGGAGGAAUACCGGUGGCGAAGGCGGCAGCCUGGACCGGCAUUGACGCUGAGGAGCGAAAGCCAGGGGAGCAAACGGG
This 253-nucleotide ribosomal RNA is filed under the name uncultured bacterium. RNAcentral's name for it is "partial 16S ribosomal RNA". It matches the Rfam family "Bacterial small subunit ribosomal RNA", at positions 524 to 776 of the family's 1533-position model. The record is from RNAcentral.